AACUAUAUCUGGUUGAUCCCGCCAGACAUAUAUGCUUGUUUAAAGGAUUAAGCCAUGCAAAUGUAAGUAUAAGUAACACGUAUGUACGAGACUGUGAACAGCUUAUUAAAAAAGUUAUAAUUUAUUUGAACGUGGAAACUUGAAACAGUUUCUCUGUUAUGUGGAUAACUGUGGGAAAGCUAUAGAUAAUACAUGCAAAAAGGGGAGACUGAGCAAUCAGAAUCCCUGCAUUAACUGGAGGCUAAAGAGACGCAAAAUUGAGAUGAGACACAGUUUACUAAAUAGCAGAGUGAGCGAUCACCGCUUCAUUCAAAUUUCUUAUCUAUCAAUUGUCGAUGGUAAUAUAGUGGAUUACCAUGAUUAUAACGGGUAACAGAGAAUAAGGGUUUUAUUCUGGAGAGGGGGCCUAGAGAGAUUGCCACCACUUCCAAGGAAGGCAGCAGGCGCGCAAAUUACCCAAUAACAACACGUUGAGGUAGUGACAAAAAAUAACGACGGCAUAUAAUGGGGAAACCUAUUAGCCGAUUGUAAUGAGUACAAUGUAAACAAAUUAAUUAGUAUCAACUGGAGGGCAAGUCUGGUGCCAGCAGCCGCGGUAAUUCCAGCUCCAGUAGCGUAUAUUUAAGUUGCUGUAUUUAAAAAGCUCGUAGUUUAGGUGUGGCUAGAGGCGAGCUCCUGGGUGAAAUAAAUUCAUCUUGGAGCUCACUCUGGUCCCUCCUGAGUAAGUAGCACUACACGUAAUUGAAAGAUUACGCGUUGACCGUUCUUACUCACAUUACCAUAAGUAAAAUAGGGUGUUUAAAGCAGGACGUUUGUCCAUUGAAUAAUAGAGUAUGGGAUAAUAGAAGAUGAAAGAGGUAAGAUGCGUUUCACAGCAGUGGCAACAUUGUUGUGUCUUGCCUUUUUAAUGAUUAAAAGGGACUAUUGGGGCAAUUAGUAUUUCUACACGAGCGGUGAAAUGCGUAGACUGUAGAAAGACUCACUAAUGCGAAAGCACUUUGCAAGGGUGUUUUCAUUAAUCAAGAACGAAAGUUAAGGGAUCGAAGAUGAUCAGAUACCGUCGUAGUCUUAACCAUAAACAAUGUCGACAAAGGAUAGGGAGGAGUGCAUAAAUAUGCGCUCUUCAUAAAAAAGGUACUUCGCAUGAGUGUUACUAGCAAUAGUAGCAUUCAUAUAAGGUCUCUCCCUGAAUUUCGUAAGAAAUUAAAGUGAUCGGACUUUGGGGGGAGUAUGGUCGCAAGGCUGAAACUUAAAGGAAUUGACGGAAGGGCACCACCAGGUGUGGAACUUGCGGUUUAAUUUGACUCAACACGGGGAAACUCACCAGGUCAGGACAUAAUAAGGAUUGACAGAUUAGAGAUCUUUCAUGAUUCUAUGGGUGGUGGUGCAUGGCCGAUCUUAGUUCGUGAUAUGAAUUGUCGGCUUAAUUGCGUUAACGAACGAGACCUUUAGAGAUAAAUAGUGCUCUAGUGGCAAUGUCAAAUAUAGUUGGUGUCUCUGGAAGAAGGGCAUGUUCCCCUUUCAGAUGUCAUCGCCAGUUAUAAUUACCACUAGUGGCUGUUGUGAGGGUUUACUCUUGCAGCAUGUGACUUCUUAUUUCGACUAUUGAUGUUCAAUCAAUGUAAGUUAAAGGCAAUAUCAGGUCUGUGAUGCCCUUAGAUGUUCUGGGCGACACGCGUGUUACAAUGGUAAAGUUCAGAGGGUCCUAGUUGUUUUGAAACAGAGCAAUCUGUUGAGAGGCAGCAAAAGCUUGAUAGAAAUAUCUGGCUAAUCCUUAGUGAAUCUUUUUAACCAUAUCUGGGAUAGAUGCUUGUAAUUUUUCAUCUUCAACUUGGAAUACCUAGUAAGCACAGGUCAACAACCUGUGCUGAUUACGUCCCUGCCCUUUGUACACACCGCCCGUCGCUCCUACCGAUUGAAUUGUCCGAUGAGUUGCAAGGAGUCGCGGUCAUCAGCAAUGGUGAUUGCUUCAAAUUGCAACAAAUCUUAUAAUUUAGAGGAAGGAGAAGUCGUAACAAGGUAACCGUAGGUGAACCUGCGGUUGGAUCAUUAAUAAU
RNAcentral lists this ribosomal RNA (2057 nucleotides) under Sphingobacteriaceae bacterium. RNAcentral's name for it is "16S ribosomal RNA". It matches the Rfam family "Eukaryotic small subunit ribosomal RNA". The record is from RNAcentral. Lineage: Bacteria; Pseudomonadati; Bacteroidota; Sphingobacteriia; Sphingobacteriales; Sphingobacteriaceae.